Molecule: ribosomal RNA, 431 nt
Filed under: uncultured Pseudomonas sp.
Lineage: Bacteria; Pseudomonadati; Pseudomonadota; Gammaproteobacteria; Pseudomonadales; Pseudomonadaceae
Description: bacterial SSU rRNA
Rfam family: Bacterial small subunit ribosomal RNA
Source: RNAcentral
UUCGAAGCAACGCGAAGAACCUACCAGGCCUUGACAUGCAGAGAGCUUUCCAGAGAUGGAUUGGUGCCUUCGGGAACUCUGACACAGGUGCUGCAUGGCUGUCGUCAGCCCGUGUCGUGAGAUGUUGGGUUAAGUCCGUAACGAGCGCAACCCUUGUCCUUAGUUACCAGCACGUUAUGGUGGGCACUCUAAGGAGACUGCCGGUGACAAACCGGAGGAAGGUGGGGAUGACGUCAAGUCAUCAUGGCCCUUACGGCCUGGGCUACACACGUGCUACAAUGGUCGGUACAAAGGGUUGCCAAGCCGCGAGGUGGAGCUAAUCCCAUAAAACCGAUCGUAGUCCGGAUCGCAGUCUGCAACUCGACUGCGUGAAGUCGGAAUCGCUAGUAAUCGUGAAUCAGAAUGUCACGGUGAAUACGUUCCCGGGCCUU